Long non-coding RNA from Lepidothrix coronata (blue-crowned manakin), 811 nucleotides. RefSeq lists it as uncharacterized. The transcript is spliced from 3 exons. The record is from RefSeq and is a predicted model, not a curated record. NCBI's taxonomy places the organism in Eukaryota, Metazoa, Chordata, Aves, Passeriformes, Pipridae.
AGAAGAAUUCCAUUAACAUUUGUAGAUAAGUCAGUUAUGAGAGGGGAAAGCAUCAGAGAAAAGGCUGUAGGGAAUAGUCUUAAUGUAUCAGUUCAAGGAACCAACAAAGACCAAGAGGUUUAUACAUCUCGCAAACCUUACUCCAUAACCAAGGGACAUAACUGCAAGAGACUCUGGCUUCCAUUAUCACCAUGUUAUAACUAGAUUACAAAGUUGAGUAAUAAGCCAGCAUAAAGAUUCCUGCAAUAGUAAAGAUAUGGCAACAAGGUGCCUAAAGGACCCAAAUGAGAAGAAAAUGCACUCAGAAUUUCAUGGGAUCAGGCAAACUGAAAAAAAAAUAAGAUGGUCUAGAUAAAAUAAGACUACUCACAAGCUUUUCCAAAUAGCUGUCAUCUGGGAAAAAAAAGGGGUGAGGGUUUGGAAGGAGAACAAAUAAAUGUAUUUGCUAAUAAGCAGGAACAUAAUACAGCACCUACUUCCUUAGCAAACCGAAUCAGUAUUUUUGCAGUCAGGCACCUUUGGCCUGGAAGGAUGAGGGGGUUGUUGACACUUUUAAUCUACAAUAGGGAUAGUUUAAAAUGCCCUUAGUUUCAAAAAAGCUGUCAGCACAAUUUUGUUUUUCACAAUUAACCUGGGCAGAAGUGGCAUCAUGACUAACAGGGGGAAAAAAAAUCUUCUUCAGUCCAGUGUACAAAGCUCUAAAAAACACAUCAGGUUGUCUGAAAAAUCAAUCUCUAAAGUGGUGUGUAAACAUGAACGAAAACUGACAAAAGCUUCCUCCACAGUAAGCAGUUUGAAAACAAUUGUCACA